This is a long non-coding RNA of Solanum stenotomum, 4587 nucleotides long. RefSeq lists it as uncharacterized. The record is from RefSeq and is a predicted model, not a curated record. Lineage: Eukaryota; Viridiplantae; Streptophyta; Magnoliopsida; Solanales; Solanaceae. The transcript has 4 exons.
UUUUUUUUUAAUACUCUCUAUGCUCUGUUUAUAAACCAUGAGGAUGUGGAGGUUUUGUCUUGCGUGGAAGUUCAAUAAAACUUGUUUUCUCUCAAGAUGAUUGAACUGUUGCUUGGCACAACACCUCGGGACUCAGGUGGGUCUAUGAGAUUUUGGAAUUAAAUUUCCAUUUCAUGGUGUUUCUUCUCCAUCUCAUCAGGCUAACUAAUGCUUGUAGCCACAAUGGAUUUCAAUGCUGUUGAGCUAAUCGUGUUUUGGCUUAGGCAAAGAUAAGUUCUCUUUUUUCACCAAACCACCCUUUUGGUGAAAUUACAAAUGACCUUCCAUUUUUCUUAUUUUUAUUACUCUCUUCAGUAUAACUCAAAAUGACAAUCAAACAUAUUCUCUCUUGAGCUAACAACUGUUGCUUGACAUGUCAUCUUAUGUUCUUCUUUUUAUGUUUGUUAUUCUUAUAAGUUGUGUACUCCUGGUUUAAACUUUAGCCCAGUUUACACAGGUAUCUGUCUCUAUAGGCAUUGGGACCCACUAUGUUAAGGUGAAUGACAAUGGUAAGUGUUAGCAUCUUUGACAUUGAUCUAAUGCAUUUUGAUGUGCAGAAAGUUCUUUGUAAAUAUAUUUUUUGUUGAUUACUACUGUAUGUAAAGAUGUUUGGAUUAUUUAUUCUAGCUGAAGUUGAGCUGGAACAUACAUAUUGUUGCUUAGGUAUUUCUAGCCCAACUUAUGGAAACCGUAUAUGUGCCUGUUUCUUUCAUCUUCGGUUAUGCUUCCUUUUUGUCUAGCCAUUUUAACUAUGGUUUCGUAUGCUUCCUUUACACCAGCGACAUCAAAAUACAGCCAUUCAGAUGAUAAGCAUGCUUUCCCAGCAAGCUUUGGUUUUAAAAGAGAGGCUUUGAGCUCUUUCUGACAUUUCUUUGUUGGAAAUUGUUACUAAAGCUCACGGGAGGCCAAAUGGAUAUCGUAAGGUUUUGAAGCAAGUGUUUUUUCCUCGGAAUUGAUGAUUGUAGACAAAAUGUUGGUACACCAGGUAAUUCUGUAUAAACCUACCUGAUACAAGAGUUGACUGGUGUUUGCUAAUAAGGAAAUUUGUUUGGAUUUUUCUUCUUACAGUCAUUGUUCGUGAUAUAUUUACAACCAACCAGUUUGAAGGAAGCAAAUGCACUCCAAGUACUUUUAGUUUUCUCACAACAAAUGAAAAAUAUUGAUUUACAUACUUUACUUCUAAAGCUGUACUCUGACCUGGUUGAUAUUUUGGUUUGCAUAUAUAAUCUGGAAGGCCAAAGAAGGUCAUUCAUUCUCUGAAAGAGUCUCUGCUAAGAAUCGCCCUUGUGCAUCCCAGUGUCUCCAAAAUUGUUGAUAUAGAAAGGCCUGGUCUGUCUUUGUUACACUAGUUAACUUAAGGAUAUUUUAUAUCUGGUUUCUUAGAUUUUGUUCAUUGCAAGCAGUGAGGAUGACGUGCUUUGCACGCAUUAUUCUUCUUCUCUGUUGCCGCUACUGUCCAGUGAGUUUGGGAUUUAUCAAAGUGAGGUUGACCUGCUUUGCACACGUGCUUCUCCUUCUCCGUUACCACUAUUGUCCGGUGGGUUGGGAUUCAGUAAAGUGAGGUUGACCUGUUUUGCACACGUGCUUCUCCUUCUCCAUUGCCACUAUUGUCCAGUGGGUUUGGGAGUCAUCUGAGUUCCCUUAACAAAUUGAAUGCAAGGGAUGGUUCAUUCAAGCUCUCAGGAUACAUUUCAUGUCCUGAUGUUUACACAAUGAAUGUAUACAUGCCCAAAUUGAUGGAUAAGAGAUGUGAUAAGUCAUCUUUUCUACUCUCUGUUUCCUAACAACCACUGUUUAAUUUGCAGGUCCUUCAAUAUUUAUGUAUCCACUUAUUUCAGUAUAUUUUCCUGACAAAAGAAAAAUGGAAAACUAAUUAUUGGUUAACGUUUUCUAUAUUGGAUGCUUGUUGUUAAUGAUGUUUUUGUUUUCCUUGACCUUUGUAAUGCAGAUAUCAAUUCAAGAUUUGUUUCCAAAGGACCAAUACAUAAAUUACUUAAUAAUAUAGCUAUGAGUUUAGACAGUGCUUUUGACAUUUUGAAGCGAAGUAGAUCUCAGAUAUAUCCACUGUUUCUGUUGAACCUAAACUUUCCUAGAUCUUUUAUAUGAUUUGAAUUUGGAGCCUUCAAAGACCUCUGUGGAAUUUAAGGUGAGAUUUUUUGUUGGGAUUUAUGAUUUAACUUGUUUUGGGGUUGGGAAAAGAAUGUGAGGCUUUGGAUUUAUUUUAUAGAAUUUUUUUCUUAAUUUAAAAGUGGGCAUGAGCUCAUUUAUUAAGUUAAAAGGAACUAACAAUAUUUACAAUGACCAGGCCCAACUGAAACCCGGUCCAACAAAUAACUAAAGCAAAAACAAAAGUAAAACUAAAAAUAGAAACAAACAGGAAAUCAAGUCUCAGACAAACAAUCUGAGACCUGAUGCUUGUCGAAGCAGCUCAAUCCUUCUCUCUUCAUCUUCUUUGAAGGCUGCGAGUUAGAGAGUUUUUCCCCAUGGAUGAGAUUCAGGUAAGCUCAAGUAUAAUCAUCUUCUGCUACAACAACCUCUCCAUGAAAUGCUAAAUCAAGCAAACACCAAGCUUAGCCGAAUUUCAGAACCAUUGAACUGGUGCAGUGGCGCAUAUCCCUUGUUGAAUCAUCGAGGUAAGUAGAUCAGAACUGAAAUGACCUGCUGCGAAGACUUCUUAUCUAGAAAUAAUCAAUUCCUGCUUUCUACAGUCAGACAUUAUGAUAAUUAAAUCAAAAUUGAGGCUCGAUCAACCUAUCUAAGAUUAGCAAGUGUUUUUUUUUGUGAGAAUUGGUUUGAGUUGUUUUCUGUAAAAUAAAUUUCAGAACACUAAAAUCAUUUUUUGAAACUUCAAUAUGGGUGAAAUUAAUAGGUUAAAAGUGGCUAAACAUCAUUAUUUAUUACAAAUCAUAUAGGAUUUCGAAGUAUUAAAAAGGACCCCCUGACCGACAAGGUCCUUGCAUUACAGCUGUUCCCGCAGAACAAAAAAAUCUCCCUAUUCUUAUGGGAGAACAAUGCAAAACCAUGUUUUCUGGCUUCUUUUGGUUGCAAAACCAAAUAGGCCAAUGUUAAGAAGGACAUGUCAUACAUAUUUGUUUUAGUGAUUGGAGUACUGUAUUUCGUAUUACAAUGUGUUUGCUGUUUUCCAGGACUGACAAUUCUUCCAGUUUGAACUUAGUCUCCUGGUUUUUGCUUACCCAAUCAUUUCUGCUUCCGUUUAAAUGGAUUUUGCAAUUUCCCUCAAAAUGUAUGUCAAUUUUCAUAGAUAUAGAUAUUUGCUACAUCAAUCUUCUUGGAGCCUUGCUAUCUUUUGGAGAUGGUGACAUCCAGCUAUAUAUUGAUUUGUUGAUUUCUGGCCCAAGAAUUUUUUUUGAACUGAUAUGGUUCUUUUUCGUUUCUCUCUUAGUUUUCGACUGCAGAUGAUGGACUAGAUCAAACUUGAGAACUGUUGCACUUUUUAGGAUUACAUUGUCUGAUUCUGUAGACAUUUUUCUAUGAACUGGAUAAGAAGCUAUUGACUUCUAUGCCAUGUUAUUUUUUAGAUAUGCUGGUUAUACCAGCUCAGGAUUUCUGCGUUGUAUACCAUAUUUAGGUUAGCAGAGGUGUGGUUUGACUUAUCACCACAAAAAGAAAGGAAAAAGAGGGGAGAGGGGGAAGAGGCGAAGUGUGGUUCUUGUUUGUCUAUUAGAACGUGUCACUUGUUCAUUUUUGUUCCAUGUUAGAUGUGCAAUCUAAUUGCCUGAAAUGUUGUGUAGCAUUUUACUCCCUUUGUUGGCACCAUAGAUACUGAUUGUGUUAAUCUCAUAAAGCUAUUUUGAUGUGUUUUACAAGAAUCUCAGCUUCGGGUCCAUACUUCUCCACAAGCCCUACUCUCAGAGAAAAAUGGCCACAUCCAAUAACUGACAUCUUUCCAGCCAACCUACUAUCAGCAAGUAUGCAAAAGCCACUCAGCUUCAGAUCCAUACUCCUCCACAAGCCUUACUCUCAGAGAAAAAUAGCUGAUGCAAUUGCUGUCUUUAGUCAACAAAGUAAAUGAGGACUAAAGUGCAGGGAGAGGACUUAUAUAACAUUUACGACCUUACAGGGUUGAAAUGACCAAUCAGCAGGUAUUAGUACUGCAGAAGCUUAUAGCAUGGGCACGAUAUGAAAUGUAGUAAGGAGAUUUUAGUAGAAUCACAACCAUAAGUCUUAUGUAUUAACUCACUUCAGUAAAAUAAUAUACCGAGUGGCUACAGAAUACAUCAAGUACCUUGUCAGUGGUAGCUUUCUGGAGAUGUUUAUAUAAAUCUGAAUGCUUUUUUCCCAAAUUCUCGUUCAAAUGAUGAAAGGAGCACUAUAUUGCAUGAGAAGAAGAGCUAAAAGUCAGAAAAAUAUGCAGCACAGCUUCUGCAUAAAUGCUCAACCUAAGCUUCCAGACGAGAAAUUUCAAAUGCCCAAGAUGCUUCAGAAUGAACAGAUGAAAGAUGAGCAAAUUUUAAGUUUAAAUGCUUGGAUCCCCUCCAUAUUCCUAGAACAGUUCUACGUAACAAGUUAGAAAGAAAGUAAUUACAU